CCACCCCUCAAGGGGCAACAAGCCACAGACCAUCUUCCUUCCAUCUCUUUAGGAAGCUGAGAAAGAACCCGCUUCCAACAGUGCUCUUUCUGUGUCCUGGCAACAUCUCAUACAAUGUCAGCUGAUAUGCCAUUUCUUUUCAGCGCUUGACUCGCCGAUUUGGAACUUCUGCUUCUGCCAGAUUUCCACCUUGGCAACCUGGCUCAGACGAAAUGCCUAAAUCUUCCCCUUCAGCAAUGGGAACGAGGCCCAGAUCAUUGUGUUUCCACAUGCUUAGCAGGAGCAGACAAUAGGCUUUUUACAAACCGCCAUUGUGCACUGGUGCAGAGAGUGUCAGAAUGCACCUAUGUCAGAAAGGGCCCUUUGCUCUCAGCCGUGCCCUCCAUUGCUCUACAGGUGGAAGGCACAAAGCACUGCCUCCAUCCUUCAAUGGGAGACAAGCCAUAAACUGUCUUGCUUCCAGCUCUUUAGGAAGCUGAGAAAGAACUCGCUUUCCACAGUGCUGUUACAGCAUACGAGGAAACUCUCAUACAAAUGCAGCUCAAAUGCCAUUUCUUCCCAGCGCUUAACUCGCCACUUUAGGACUUCUGCUUCUGCCGCAAUUCCACCUUGCCAACCCGGCUCAGACGAAAUGCCUACAUCUUCCCCUUAAGCAACUGGGAUGAGUCCCAAAUGAUUGUGUGACGAUGUGCUUAGCAGGAGAUGGACAAUACGCUUUUCACCAACCACAGUUGAGCACUGGUGGAGAGAGUGUCAGAAAGCACCUAUGUCAGAAAGGCCCCUUUCCUCUCAGCCUUGCCCUCCAUUGCUCUAGUUGUGGAAUGCACAAUGCAUUGUCUCCACCCCUCAAGGGGAGACAAGCCACAGACCAUCUUUCUUCCAUCUCUUUAGGAGGCUGAGAACAAACUCACCUGACGUAUAGAAAGGAAUCAUGCCCCUUAGAUGCCAGAAAACCCUUUGGAGACAUGCCAAAAACACCCUCCGCACACUCGCAAAGAACCACACAUUCAUGCCCGAACGACCCAACAGGCACACCAAAAGCACUGAUGUUGCAUGCCAGAAUCACCUGUAACCACCUGCAGGACACAGUGGAACAAUGAUUCUGACAAUGCAGAACCAUCUCUUCAACAUGCCAGCUGCACACAACAGACACGACGGAACCAGAUUCCAAACGUAGUACAACCACAUGCCAGAGACAUUGGAAACACCUGUUGGAUAUGCCGCAAACAGGUGCCAGAAACACUGAAACCACCUGCGGUGUAUGUCAGAACUGGGGGCCAGAAGUGCCACAAACACCUGUCUUACAUGUCAGAGCCACGAGCCCAAAAAGCAGGAAAGACCUGACAGACAAACCAAAAUAAACUGCCGGUGAUGCCAGAACCACUCGGAGGACAGCCAGGAAUCACCUGCCGGGCAUGCCUGAACCACCUCGCAGACGUGCCAGAACCACGUGCCGGACAUGCUGGAACCACCUCUCGGACAGACCAGAACCACCUGCUGGACACACCGAAAUCACCUGCCAGCUACACCAGAACAACUUGGCGGACACCUUAGAAUCACCUGCGGGCAUGCAGGAACCACCUCUCAGACGGGCCACAACCACAUGCCUGACACGCCGGAACCAACUCCCAAAGAGACCGGAAGCACAUGCCGAACAUGCCGGAACCACCUGCAUGACUCGCUGGAACCACAUGCCAGGCACGCCGUAAUCACCUGCCGGCUAUGCCAGAACCACUUAUCGGACACUCCAGAACCACCUGCUGGGCAUGCUGCAACCACCUCUCAGACACGCCAUAACCACAUGCCUGACACGCUGGAACCACCUACCAGACAGACCGGAACCACAUGUCAAAAAUGCUGGAACCACCUGCUCGACCCUCCAGAACCACCUCCCAGGCAGACCGGAACCACCUGCCAGAAAUGCCUCAACCACCUGCUGAGCACGCCGGAACCACCUGCUCGACUCGCUGGAACCACCAGCCUCUCAUGCCAAAAUCACCUGCUGGCUACACCAGAACGACUUGCCAGACACCGUGGAAUCACCCGCCGGGCAUGCCGGAACCACCUCUCAGACGUGCUAGAAGCACAUGCCGGAGACGCCUGAAGCACCUGCCGUGCACGUUGGAACCACCUCCUGGACAGACAGAAACCACCUGCUAGACACGCUGGAACCACCUGCCAAGCACGGAGGAACCACCUGAUUGACUCGCAG
Equus caballus (horse) is the source of this 2212-nucleotide long non-coding RNA. The record is from Ensembl. Lineage: Eukaryota; Metazoa; Chordata; Mammalia; Perissodactyla; Equidae.